GACGUAGGGCGCGAGCGUUGUCCGGAUUUAUUGGGCGUAAAGAGCUCGUAGGCGGCUUGUUGCGUCGGCUGUGAAAACCCAUGGCUCAACCGUGGGCUUGCAGCCGAUACGGGCAGGCUAGAGUUCGGUAGGGGAGACUGGAAUUCUUGGUGUAGCGGUGAAAUGCGUAGAUAUCAAGAGGAACACCUGAGGUGAAGACGGGUUGCUGGGCCGACACUGACGCUGAAGCGCGAAAGCCAGGGGAGCAAACGGG
RNAcentral lists this ribosomal RNA (253 nucleotides) under uncultured bacterium. RNAcentral describes it as "partial 16S ribosomal RNA". It matches the Rfam family "Bacterial small subunit ribosomal RNA", at positions 524 to 776 of the family's 1533-position model. The record is from RNAcentral.